GGGGGUGUAGCUUAGUCCGGUUAAAAGCGUCGGUUUGUCGAACCGAAGAUCGUGGGUUCAAAUCCCAUCACCCUCG
RNAcentral lists this transfer RNA (76 nucleotides) under Oculatella sp. LEGE 06141. It matches the Rfam family "tRNA". Rfam says of the family: Transfer RNA (tRNA) molecules are approximately 80 nucleotides in length. Their secondary structure includes four short double-helical elements and three loops (D, anti-codon, and T loops). Further hydrogen bonds mediate the characteristic L-shaped molecular structure. tRNAs have two regions of fundamental functional importance: the anti-codon, which is responsible for specific mRNA codon recognition, and the 3' end, to which the tRNAs corresponding amino acid is attached (by aminoacyl-tRNA synthetases). tRNAs cope with the degeneracy of the genetic code in two manners: having more than one tRNA (with a specific anti-codon) for a particular amino acid; and 'wobble' base-pairing, i.e. permitting non-standard base-pairing at the 3rd anti-codon position. RNAcentral also lists the same sequence under 1 other name. The record is from Rfam by way of RNAcentral. Lineage: Bacteria; Bacillati; Cyanobacteriota; Cyanophyceae; Oculatellales; Oculatellaceae.